GCCCUGCUGUGUGCGUAACGACCCAUGUUUUGAGCCAACACAUUGAGUAAGGGAGCCUAACUCUGAUUGUGGCAUGCAGGCCUCCCAGCCGUGGAGGAGCGUAAAGCCGUCAGGCGGCGCCCACCUGCCGAGGGCAGGUUCAAAACAGGGGUGAUAAACGGCAUAGUGGGGA
This 172-nucleotide non-coding RNA is filed under the name uncultured Anaerosporomusa sp. RNAcentral describes it as "6S / SsrS RNA". It matches the Rfam family "6S / SsrS RNA". Rfam says of the family: E. coli 6S RNA was the first non coding RNA to be sequenced, but its function was unknown until recently. It consists of 184 nucleotides that fold into an extended hairpin structure with a large single-stranded internal bulge. The 6S RNA specifically associates with RNA polymerase holoenzyme containing the sigma70 specificity factor. Lineage: Bacteria; Bacillati; Bacillota; Negativicutes; Acetonemataceae. The record is from RNAcentral.